This 239-nucleotide unclassified non-coding RNA is filed under the name Hevea brasiliensis (rubber tree). The record is from RNAcentral. Lineage: Eukaryota; Viridiplantae; Streptophyta; Magnoliopsida; Malpighiales; Euphorbiaceae.
GGUCAAUACAUCCACUCUUGAGGUAAGCAAAUUUCUUGAUUAUUGAGGACACUCUCUGCCUGUAAAUUUCCCUUCUGUUGCGCCAAUAGCCCAUUUCUUGCCAUCAAAGCAUCUUGGAUGUUCAUGUCCUUAAGGUUCAAAUCUAGAGCCUGAACAACCUUGGCUUGGACCAGAACUGUGGAGCAAGCUGAUUUCUUCUUACAAGCAGAGGGAUUGGUGUAUCCGCGAGGCAAGAAAAC